GUAGGUGGCAAGCGUUGUCCGGAAUUAUUGGGCGUAAAGCGCGCGCAGGCGGUUUUUUAGGUCUGAUGUGAAAGCCCACGGCUCAACCGUGGAGGGUCAUUGGAAACUGGAGAACUUGAGUACAGAAGAGGAAAGCGGAAUUCCACGUGUAGCGGUGAAAUGCGUAGAGAUGUGGAGGAACACCAGUGGCGAAGGCGGCUUUCUGGUCUGUAACUGACGCUGAGGCGCGAAAGCGUGGGGAGCAAACAGGGAUUAGAUACCCUGGUAGUCCACGCCGUAAACGAUGAGUGCUAAGUGUUAGGGGGGUUUCCGCCCCCUUAGUGCUGCAGCUAACGCAUUAAGCACUCCGCCUGGGGAUACGGCCGCAAGGCUG
This 373-nucleotide ribosomal RNA is filed under the name uncultured organism. RNAcentral's name for it is "partial 16S ribosomal RNA". It matches the Rfam family "Bacterial small subunit ribosomal RNA", at positions 527 to 896 of the family's 1533-position model. The record is from RNAcentral.